AUCACUUUUCUAACAAGAGUUCAUGUUAGAAAACUGAUGUUUUCAUGUACUCUUGUUGAUUAAUUAUAACAGGAGUUCAUGUAAUCGCAUAGAAGAUCAGAGAAGUCAUCAAAAGGAUAAACUGGUGUUUGCAGCCAAUAUUAAUAGGGCAUCCAUGAAAGAUGACAGUCUCGCAUACACAAUUUAUCUCUUUUUUAUUUAUUGCUUUAUUUACAUCUCUCCUUUAUAUCUCAAGUUGUUUCUAUUUAACCCUUUUUCCUUUUACUUCACAUUGCUUAGAGCAAUAUACCCUUUAUCAGGGAUUGAAAUAUUGGAUGCCUACAUUUCUACAUUCCGAUUAGUUUGAAAGGGUGCUUGCUACCUUUUAUUCAAUUCUGCAUCUGGAAGAAUACUGAGUUGCGUUUUUGGUUCCUCGGAGUUGAGACUCUCUUAUUUAAGGUUUAAAUCAAUAGAAACACUGACUGCCCCUAUCAGACCUGGUCAUAACUCCUGUCCUGUGUUUACUUCCUGGUACCAGCUGCACAGCAGGCAUGUGAACUGCAGUGAUGUUGCAAGAUUGAAAUCAAAGCAUAAAGGGAUGACAAGCCACCGAGCAGUUUGCUCAUCGAUAACGAAGAUUCUUGCACUCCUGCUAGACGCCACCAAUUCUCUCCUGGCACCUUGAUGGGUUGAGAUAGCUGGAGACAUGAUGACUGCCCAGUCUUGCUACUUUCUAGCCUGCCACAACUUGUCAAAAUUAAGGAUUCAAUGUAACCAUCUCCCAUGCCUUACAUAGAUGCACCGUUAUACAUGAUGUAUAAAAGUGAAGAAGUGGACAUGUUAAAUCAUGACAGAAGGCUAUGGCUAUGAUUUUCUGUACUUUAUUGUAAAUCUCAACUUGGAUCAUGUAAUUAGCUUGUAGAUCAUUCACAUUU
Populus euphratica (Euphrates poplar) is the source of this 914-nucleotide long non-coding RNA. RefSeq lists it as uncharacterized. The transcript is spliced from 4 exons. The record is from RefSeq and is a predicted model, not a curated record. NCBI's taxonomy places the organism in Eukaryota, Viridiplantae, Streptophyta, Magnoliopsida, Malpighiales, Salicaceae.